GNAGAGACCGGCGCACGGGUGCGUAACGCGUAUGCAAUCUACCUUUCACAGAGGGAUAGCCNAGAGAAAUUUGGAUUAAUACCUCAUAGUAUAUAUGAAUGGCAUCAUUUAUAUAUUAAAGUCACAACGGUGAAAGAUGAGCAUGCGUCCCAUUANCUAGUUGGUAAGGUAACGGCUUACCAAGGCAACGAUGGGUAGGGGUCCUGAGAGGGAGAUCCCCCACACUGGUACUGAGACACGGACCAGACUCCUACGGGAGGCAGCAGUGAGGAAUAUUGGACAAUGGGCGCAAGCCUGAUCCAGCCAUGCCGCGUGCAGGAUGACGGUCCUAUGGAUUGUAAACUGCUUUUAUACGAGAAGAAACACUCCGACGUGUCGGAGCUUGACGGUAUCGUAAGAAUAAGGAUCGGCUAACUCCGUGCCAGCAGCCGCGGUAAUACGGAGGAUCCAAGCGUUAUCCGGAAUCAUUGGGUUUAAAGGGUCCGUAGGCGGUCAGGUAAGUCAGUGGUGAAAGCCCAUCGCUCAACGGUGGAACGGCCAUUGAUACUGUCUGACUUGAAUUAUUAGGAAGUAACUAGAAUAUGUAGUGUANCGGUGAAAUGCUUAGAGAUUACAUGGAAUACCAAUUGCGAAGGCAGGUUACUACUAAUGGAUUGACGCUGAUGGACGAAAGCGUGGGUAGCGAACAGGAUUAGAUACCCUGGUAGUCCACGCCGUAAACGAUGGAUACUAGCUGUUGGAAGCAAUUUCAGUGGCUAAGCGAAAGUGAUAAGUAUCCCACCUGGGGAGUACGUUCGC
RNAcentral lists this ribosomal RNA (798 nucleotides) under Flavobacterium sp. Its description in RNAcentral is "bacterial SSU rRNA". It matches the Rfam family "Bacterial small subunit ribosomal RNA", at positions 88 to 889 of the family's 1533-position model. Lineage: Bacteria; Pseudomonadati; Bacteroidota; Flavobacteriia; Flavobacteriales; Flavobacteriaceae. The record is from RNAcentral.